UCAUAUUCAGGGUGCAGGAAGAUCGCCGAAUCAAAUUUCACGAUAACUUUCCACUGAAAGAUAUUUUUGAUAUUUCUACUAAAAUUUUAUAUCUUUCAGGUAGAUAUGAUACAUUGAUAGAUGUCAAUCUAAUCUUAUGAGUUUGAUCAAAUUAAAGAGUUUAAUUCAAUCAUUAAUUAGAAAGAGUUCUAAUUGUUGAAAUUGGG
This 206-nucleotide long non-coding RNA is filed under the name Elaeis guineensis (African oil palm). RNAcentral's name for it is "long non-coding RNA (EGUI_LNC077548)". The record is from RNAcentral. Lineage: Eukaryota; Viridiplantae; Streptophyta; Magnoliopsida; Arecales; Arecaceae.